GUGGGGGAUAUUGCACAAUGGGGGAAACCCUGAUGCAGCGACGCCGCGUGAAGGAAGACGUACUUCGGUAUGUAAACUUCUAUCAGCAGGGAAGAAGAUGACGGUACCUGACUAAGAAGCCCCGGCUAACUACGUGUCAGCAGCCGCGGUAAUACGUAGGGGGCAAGCGUUAUCCGGAUUUACUGGGUGUAAAGGGAGCGUAGACGGUGAAGCAAGUCUGAUGUGAAAACCCGGGGCUCAACUCCGGGAUUGCAUUGGAAGCUGUUUUACUUGAGUGCUGGAGGGGCAAGCGGAAUUCCUGGUGUAGCGGUGAAAUGCGUAGAUAUCAGGAAGAACACCGGUGGCGAAGGCGGCUUGCUGGACAGUAACUGACGUUGAGGCUCGAAAGCGUGGGGAGCAAACAGGAUUAGAAACCCCGGUAGUCC
This 425-nucleotide ribosomal RNA is filed under the name uncultured bacterium. Its description in RNAcentral is "partial 16S ribosomal RNA". It matches the Rfam family "Bacterial small subunit ribosomal RNA", at positions 354 to 796 of the family's 1533-position model. The record is from RNAcentral.